This is a non-coding RNA of Gopherus evgoodei (Goodes thornscrub tortoise), 74 nucleotides long. The record is from the annotation of a RefSeq genome assembly. NCBI's taxonomy places the organism in Eukaryota, Metazoa, Chordata, Testudines, Testudinidae.
GGCACCAUUGUUUAGUUGGUUAAAAUACCUGUUUUUUAAACAGGAGAUCCUGGGUUCAACUCCCAGUGGUGUCU